ACGCACGCUGGCGGCGUGCCUAAUACAUGCAAGUAGAACGCUGAAGAGAGGAGCUUGCUCUUCUUGGAUGAGUUGCGAACGGGUGAGUAACGCGUAGGUAACCUGCCUUGUAGCGGGGGAUAACUAUUGGAAACGAUAGCUAAUACCGCAUAACAAUGGAUGACACAUGUCAUUUAUUUGAAAGGGGCAAUUGCUCCACUACAAGAUGGACCUGCGUUGUAUUAGCUAGUAGGUGAGGUAAUGGCUCACCUAGGCGACGAUACAUAGCCGACCUGAGAGGGUGAUCGGCCACACUGGGACUGAGACACGGCCCAGACUCCUACGGGAGGCAGCAGUAGGGAAUCUUCGGCAAUGGGGGCAACCCUGACCGAGCAACGCCGCGUGAGUGAAGAAGGUUUUCGGAUCGUAAAGCUCUGUUGUAAGUCAAGAACGGGUGUGAGAGUGGAAAGUUCACACUGUGACGGUAGCUUACCAGAAAGGGACGGCUAACUACGUG
Molecule: ribosomal RNA, 496 nt
Filed under: uncultured bacterium
Lineage: Bacteria
Description: partial 16S ribosomal RNA
Rfam family: Bacterial small subunit ribosomal RNA
Source: RNAcentral